This is a long non-coding RNA of Crotalus tigris (Tiger rattlesnake), 285 nucleotides long. RefSeq lists it as uncharacterized. The transcript is spliced from 2 exons. The record is from RefSeq and is a predicted model, not a curated record. NCBI's taxonomy places the organism in Eukaryota, Metazoa, Chordata, Lepidosauria, Squamata, Viperidae.
CAGGUGGUGAAAUACUUUGUCAGCGACAGACUAAUAAAUGCAAAUAUGUUCUAGAGAAAAAUAUAUAAAAUGAUGAUUCAUUGUUGAUAGGUGGUCCAAAAGGAUACUACGAUUUACAAUAGUGAAGCCCACUGAAAGAUCCAGGAAGAAGGAUGUUUGUCCUACUUUCAUCCAAGCCUCAUCACAGAUCAACCAUUAGAGCAACCCAUGUACAAAUCUGAAUGAAGAUAAAAACAUUCCAGAGAGGAUAUUCUUACAAUUGACAAUUAUAUACUUGUACUCUGA